RNAcentral lists this ribosomal RNA (501 nucleotides) under uncultured Oscillibacter sp. Its description in RNAcentral is "bacterial SSU rRNA". It matches the Rfam family "Bacterial small subunit ribosomal RNA", at positions 8 to 507 of the family's 1533-position model. Lineage: Bacteria; Bacillati; Bacillota; Clostridia; Eubacteriales; Oscillospiraceae. The record is from RNAcentral.
AGAGUUUGAUCCUGGCUCAGGACGAACGCUGGCGGCGUGCUUAACACAUGCAAGUCGAACGGAGCACCCCUGAAAGAGUUUUCGGACAAUGGAAGGGAAUGCUUAGUGGCGGACUGGUGAGUAACGCGUGAGGAACCUGCCUUCCAGAGGGGGACAACAGUUGGAAACGACUGCUAAUACCGCAUGACACAUGGCCGUGGCAUCACGGACAUGUCAAAGAUUUAUCGCUGGAAGAUGGCCUCGCGUCUGAUUAGCUAGUAGGCGGGGUAACGGCCCACCUAGGCGACGAUCAGUAGCCGGACUGAGAGGUUGACCGGCCACAUUGGGACUGAGAUACGGCCCAGACUCCUACGGGAGGCAGCAGUGGGGAAUAUUGGGCAAUGGGCGCAAGCCUGACCCAGCAACGCCGCGUGAAGGAAGAAGGCUUUCGGGUUGUAAACUUCUUUUAAGGGGGAAGAGCAGAAGACGGUACCCCUUGAAUAAGCCACGGCUAACUACGUG